Molecule: ribosomal RNA, 398 nt
Filed under: uncultured bacterium
Lineage: Bacteria
Description: partial 16S ribosomal RNA
Rfam family: Bacterial small subunit ribosomal RNA
Source: RNAcentral
AAUAUUGCGCAAUGUGGGGAACCCUGACGCAGCAACGCCGCGUGAGUGACGAAGGUCUNCGGAUCNUNAAGCUCUGUCAUCGGGGNCGAAUAGAUGACGGUACCCGAGGAGGAAUCCCCGGCUAACUACGUGCCAGCAGCCGCGGUAAUCCGUAGGGGGCGAGCGUUGUCCGGAAUUACUGGGCGUAAAGGGUGCGUAGGCGGCCUGAUAAGUCGGAUGUGAAAUACCACGGCUUAACCGUGGGGGUGCAUUUGAAACUGUUGGGCUUGAGUGCAGGAGAGGAAAGCGGAAUUCCUAGUGUAGCGGUGAAAUGCGUAGAGAUUAGGAGGAACACCAGUGGCGAAGGCGGCUUUCUGGACUGUAACUGACGCUGAGGCACGAAAGCGUGGGUAGCGAAC